This 524-nucleotide ribosomal RNA is filed under the name uncultured bacterium. Its description in RNAcentral is "partial 16S ribosomal RNA". It matches the Rfam family "Bacterial small subunit ribosomal RNA", at positions 28 to 523 of the family's 1533-position model. The record is from RNAcentral.
GACGAACGCUGGCGGCGUGCCUAAUACAUGCAAGUCGAGCGCAGGAAACUGACGGAACUCUUCGGAGGGAAGGCAGCGGAAUGAGCGGCGGACGGGUGAGUAACACGUAAGGAACCUGCCUCAAGGAUUGGGAUAACUCCGAGAAAUCGGAGCUAAUACCGGAUAGUUCAUCGGACCGCAUGGUCCGUUGAUGAAAGGCGCUCCGGCGUCACCUUGAGAUGGCCUUGCGGUGCAUUAGCUAGUUGGUGGGGUAACGGCCCACCAAGGCGACGAUGCAUAGCCGACCUGAGAGGGUGAUCGGCCACACUGGGACUGAGACACGGCCCAGACUCCUACGGGAGGCAGCAGUAGGGAAUCUUCCACAAUGGACGAAAGUCUGAUGGAGCAACGCCGCGUGAGUGAUGAAGGUUUUCGGAUCGUAAAACUCUGUUGUAAGGGAAGAACACGUACGAGAGGAAAUGCUCGUACCUUGACGGUACCUUACGAGAAAGCCACGGCUAACUACGUGCCAGCAGCCGCCGUAA